GCUUUGAAGCGUGGACGCCAGUUCGCGUGGAGCCAUCCUUGAAAUACCACCCUGGCAUGCUUGAGGUUCUAACUCUGGUCCGUGAUCCGGAUCGAGGACAGUGUAUGGUGGGCAGUUUGACUGGGGCGGUCUCCUCCUAAAGAGUAACGGAGGAGUACGAAGGUGCGCUCAGACCGGUCGGAAAUCGGUCGCAGAGUAUAAAGGCAAAAGCGCGCUUGACUGCGAGACAGACACGUCGAGCAGGUACGAAAGUAGGUCUUAGUGAUCCGGUGGUUCUGUAUGGAAGGGCCAUCGCUCAACGGAUAAAAGGUACUCCGGGGAUAACAGGCUGAUACCGCCCAAGAGUUCAUAUCGACGGCGGUGUUUGGCACCUCGAUGUCGGCUCAUCACAUCCUGGGGCUGAAGCCGGUCCCAAGGGUAUGGCUGUUCGCCAUUUAAAGUGGUACGCGAGCUGGGUUUAGAACGUCGUGAGACAGUUCGGUCCCUAUCUGCCGUGGACGUUUGAGAUUUGAGAGGGGCUGCUCCUAGUACGAGAGGACCGGAGUGGACGAACCUCUGGUGUUCCGGUUGUCACGCCAGUGGCAUUGCCGGGUAGCUAUGUUCGGAAAAGAUAACCGCUGAAAGCAUCUAAGCGGGAAACUUGCCUCAAGAUGAGAUCUCACUGGGAACUUGAUUCCCCUGAAGGGCCGUCGAAGACUACGACGUUGAUAGGCUGGGUGUGUAAGCGUUGUGAGGCGUUGAGCUAACCAGUACUAAUUGCCCGUGAGGCUUGACCAU
This 777-nucleotide ribosomal RNA is filed under the name Pseudomonas aeruginosa. RNAcentral's name for it is "bacterial LSU rRNA". It matches the Rfam family "Bacterial large subunit ribosomal RNA", at positions 2154 to 2925 of the family's 2925-position model. RNAcentral also lists the same sequence under 1 other name. The record is from RNAcentral. Lineage: Bacteria; Pseudomonadati; Pseudomonadota; Gammaproteobacteria; Pseudomonadales; Pseudomonadaceae.